UACGUAGGGCGCAAGCGUUGUCCGGAAUUAUUGGGCGUAAAGAGCUCGUAGGCGGUUUGUCGCGUCUGCUGUGAAAACCUAAGGCUCAACCUUGGGCUUGCAGUGGGUACGGGCAGACUAGAGUGCGGUAGGGGUGACUGGAAUUCCUGGUGUAGCGGUGGAAUGCGCAGAUAUCAGGAGGAACACCCGUGGCGAAAGCGGCUCUCUGGGACGGUACUGACGCUGAGACGCGAAAGCGUGGGGAGCAAACAGG
Molecule: ribosomal RNA, 253 nt
Filed under: uncultured bacterium
Lineage: Bacteria
Description: partial 16S ribosomal RNA
Rfam family: Bacterial small subunit ribosomal RNA
Source: RNAcentral